Non-coding RNA from Rattus norvegicus (Norway rat), 69 nucleotides. The record is from Rfam. NCBI's taxonomy places the organism in Eukaryota, Metazoa, Chordata, Mammalia, Rodentia, Muridae.
GGGGAUGUAGCUCAGUGGUAGAGCGCUUGCCUAGCAAGCACAAGGCCCUGGGUUCGGUCCCCAGCUCCG